CUUAUCCAAUAACUGAUAUAGAAAUCUAUGUGAAUAGAUAGAGUGGUUAAAAAGCCAGAAGUUGAAGAAGGUUCCUCACUCUCAGCCAUUCUCCUCACACAAACCAAAAUCUCUCUCCUUUCUCCAAAAGUUUUAGAUACAAGCCAUUGAUUCUUGUGUAGUGAAGCUAAAAGCUCUUCUUUAGCCAAAUGUUUUAGAUACUCUUUUAGCUUUUUUCUACAAUGACUUCUACACCAACCCCUCCACCAAACUACUCCUCACUCCCUGCUGCUCC
RNAcentral lists this long non-coding RNA (274 nucleotides) under Medicago truncatula (barrel medic). Its description in RNAcentral is "long non-coding RNA (MTRU_LNC004747)". Lineage: Eukaryota; Viridiplantae; Streptophyta; Magnoliopsida; Fabales; Fabaceae. The record is from RNAcentral.